ACAUUAAUAAUGAUCUUCUCUCCUGGUGUGCUGUACCAACUGGCUGGUACAUUAUAGUUUUGGAAAAUAUUGUGAACCAAGUUAUAUCUAUGUCUCAUAUCAUUUUUUGUGUUUAUGUAGGAUGUUUGUUCUGAGAAAACUAAAAAUACUUUGUUUAAAUUGGAUCACAUUUUACCAGUUAAGUGAACCUUACCAGCAGAUGACAAUAUUGAUAUGUGGGAUGACACAAGGAAGAUACAACAACCUAAGAAUGGAUAGCUUGUGCUAGAAAAUCAAUUACAAAAUCUUAUAUGGCUUUUCCUCC
RNAcentral lists this long non-coding RNA (304 nucleotides) under Homo sapiens (human). RNAcentral's name for it is "HSALNT0115260". The record is from RNAcentral. Lineage: Eukaryota; Metazoa; Chordata; Mammalia; Primates; Hominidae.